GCGACGCUGGCGGCGUGCCUAUACAUGCAAGUCGAGCGGAUCGAUGGGAGCUUGCUCCCUGAGAUCAGCGGCGGACGGGUGAGUAACACGUGGGUAACCUGCCUGUAAGACUGGGAUAACUCCGGGAAACCGGGGCUAAUACCGGAUAAUUUAGUUCCUCGCAUGAGGAACUGUUGAAAGGUGGCUUCUCCUUCCCAUUUCCAAAUGGACCUACGGCCCAUUACCUAUUUGGGAAGGUACCGGUUCGCCAAGGCACCAUUCCUUACCCAACCUGAAAGCGGGAUCGGCCCUCCUGGACCUAAUACCCGGCCCAAACGACUCCGGAAGGCACCAUUAGGAAUCCUCCCCCAUGGAACAAAAUUCUACCGAACCACCGACCCUGGAUUAAAAAAGGUUUCCGAACCUUAAACCUCUUUGGUAAGGAAAGCUACAAUUGCCGUCCAAUUAGGCCGCCACCUUGCCGGUCCCUACCCAAAUAGCCCCGGUUAAU
RNAcentral lists this ribosomal RNA (490 nucleotides) under bacterium G12-1A. RNAcentral describes it as "bacterial SSU rRNA". It matches the Rfam family "Bacterial small subunit ribosomal RNA", at positions 32 to 501 of the family's 1533-position model. The record is from RNAcentral.